Molecule: ribosomal RNA, 253 nt
Filed under: uncultured bacterium
Lineage: Bacteria
Description: partial 16S ribosomal RNA
Rfam family: Bacterial small subunit ribosomal RNA
Source: RNAcentral
UACAGAGGGUGCAAGCGUUGUUCUGAAUUAUUGGGCGUAAAGCGCGUGUAGGCGGCUUUGCAAGUCGGGUGUGAAAGCCCUCAGCUCAACUGAGGAAGUGCGCCCGAAACUGCAGAGCUUGAGUGCCGGAGAGGGUGGCGGAAUUCCCCAAGUAGAGGUGAAAUUCGUAGAUAUGGGGAGGAACACCGGUGGCGAAGGCGGCCACCUGGACGGUAACUGACGCUGAGACGCGAAAGCGUGGGGAGCAAACAGG